UCUACUGGUGGCAGCAGUGGGGAAUAUUGGGCAAUGGGCGCAAGCCUGACCCAGCAACGCCGCGUGAAGGAAGAAGGCUUUCGGGUUGUAAACUUCUUUUGUCAGGGACGAAGCAAGUGACGGUACCUGACGAAUAAGCCACGGCUAACUCAGUGCCAGCAGCCGCGGUAAUACGGAGGUGGCAAGCGUUAUCCGGAUUGAUUGGGUGUAAAGGGUGUGUCUGCGGGAAUGCAAGUCAGAUGUGAAAAUUAUGGGCUCAACCCAUAGCCUGGAGUUGACACUGUAUUUCUUGAGUUCUGGGGAGGCAAUCGGAAGUCGGGGUGUAGCGGUGAAAGGCGUAGAUAUACGGAGGAACACCAGUGGCGAAGGCGGAUUGCUGGACAGUAACUGACGCUGAGGCGCGAAAGCGUGGGGAGCAAACAGGAUUAGAUACCCCAGUAGUC
RNAcentral lists this ribosomal RNA (443 nucleotides) under uncultured bacterium. Its description in RNAcentral is "partial 16S ribosomal RNA". It matches the Rfam family "Bacterial small subunit ribosomal RNA", at positions 338 to 795 of the family's 1533-position model. The record is from RNAcentral.